ACGGGGCCCGCACAAGCGGUGGAGCAUGUGGUUUAAUUCGACGCAACGCGAAAAACCUUACCUACCCUUGACAUGUCUGGAACUUGGCAGAGAUGCCUUGGUGCCUUCGGGAGCCAGAACACAGGUGCUGCAUGGCUGUCGUCAGCUCGUGUCGUGAGAUGUUGGGUUAAGUCCCGCAACGAGCGCAACCCUUACCAUUAGUUGCCAUCAUUUAGUUGGGCACUCUAAUGGGACUGCCGGUGACAAACCGGAGGAAGGUGGGGAUGACGUCAAGUCCUCAUGGCCCUUAUGGGUAGGGCUUCACACGUCAUACAAUGGUCGGUACAGAGGGUUGCCAAGCCGCGAGGUGGAGCUAAUCUCAGAAAGCCGAUCGUAGUCCGGAUCGCAGUCUGCAACUCGACUGCGUGAAGUCGGAAUCGCUAGUAAUCGUGGAUCAGAAUGUCACGGUGAAUACGUUCCCGGGUCUU
Molecule: ribosomal RNA, 467 nt
Filed under: uncultured Azoarcus sp.
Lineage: Bacteria; Pseudomonadati; Pseudomonadota; Betaproteobacteria; Rhodocyclales; Zoogloeaceae
Description: bacterial SSU rRNA
Rfam family: Bacterial small subunit ribosomal RNA
Source: RNAcentral